GUCCACGCCCUAACGAUGGAUACUCGACAUACGCGAUAUACAGUGUGUGUCUGAGCGAAAGCAUUAAGUAUCCCACCUGGGAAGUACGUCCGCAAGGAUGAAACUCAAAGGAAUUGGCGGGGUCCGCACAAGCGGUGGAGCAUGUGGUUUAAUUCGAUGAUACGCGAGGAACCUUACCUGGGCUAGAAUGUCGGGGGAAUAUGGGUGAAAGCUCAUAGCGUAGCAAUACGUCGCCGAUAAGGUGCUGCAUGGCUGUCGU
Molecule: ribosomal RNA, 259 nt
Filed under: uncultured bacterium
Lineage: Bacteria
Description: partial 16S ribosomal RNA
Rfam family: Bacterial small subunit ribosomal RNA
Source: RNAcentral